UCAAAAUAAACUAAAUUUUUAUUUUGGCCGUUUGCCACUCAGUAAUUUUCAUCCAAAAGAUAACAGUAAAGACUAAAUUGACAUGGUACUAAAAGGUUAGGAACCAAAUUGAUGCAAUUGAAAUGUUAGGGAUCAAAUUGAAACAUGAUAUAAAAAAUAAAAACCAAAUACGUAAUUUACCCACACAAAAAGUACCCACACAAAAAGAAGGAGACCCAACCUAGACCUGACUUACCUGCGCUAGACCCAGCCCAAGUGUGCAGGUUUCGGGUGAAUGAGAGUUUGGGCCAAUUCUAUCAGGUUGAGUGAAGAUCAGAUUGGGUUCAGACCCGACCUAAACCAUGCUUAGCCCUAACAGCUAUCAAAUUGGAAUCGCAUAAAUUAAUAGUGGGUAGCAUGUAUCCAUGAUCGCCGCACCACCACCAUGAAUGGGUAUCAGUAUUUUUGAUACUUUUAGUGGUAUUAAGGACAAGACGUGUGCUCGCUUUGAGUUCGUCUUCGAUUAUAUUAAGAUUCUAGACUUGGAGGAGUCAAUUUCAAAGAUGAGAUGGAGUUUUAAUGGGUAUUUGUAUUUGUUAUUUUUCGCCGAUGCCAUCACUUGACAAUACCACUAGCAAGACCUUUUGACUUUGCUAAACCUUGUAUGGGAUUUGAAGAAGACAAGGAGGCGUUCAUGGAUACUCCACUUUGCUAGUGCCAGAGGCUUUCUUUGAUUUUGUAGGUUGCUGUAUUUUGUGUGUUUUUUUUCUUGAAUAUGUGUUUGAGGAGUGUUCUUUGGGUUUGGAUUGGUGGUGUUCAGAUCUAUUGCCCUUCUCUCUUUGGAUUUGUGUGAAUAUGAAAAUUUUAUUUAAAUUGAUUGGCUCAAAAUCAUUCUUAUGAAGAGGAUGAAUCUUCUUGAGCCAAAGCUUCAAAUUUUUACAAA
Molecule: long non-coding RNA, 922 nt
Organism: Quercus robur (English oak)
Lineage: Eukaryota; Viridiplantae; Streptophyta; Magnoliopsida; Fagales; Fagaceae
Exons: 2
Source: RefSeq, a predicted model, not a curated record